This 198-nucleotide small RNA is filed under the name Xenorhabdus vietnamensis. RNAcentral's name for it is "SraG". It matches the Rfam family "SraG RNA". From Rfam's summary of the family: This RNA was discovered in E. coli during a large scale screen. Evidence was found for specific cleavage of this RNA. Lineage: Bacteria; Pseudomonadati; Pseudomonadota; Gammaproteobacteria; Enterobacterales; Morganellaceae. The record is from RNAcentral.
CUUCUUGCUACACCCUCACGACUAAUGACAGUGCUCACUCCCUUAAGGACUCUCAUUAGCCGCGCGAGUCACUGUAGCGGAAGAGGUUUAAAUUUCAGAAACGGCAAAAAACGGUAAAAAUAGUGUUUAAAUCUCUCAAUUCUAGUUUCUAUUGAUUCCGUUUCCUAGAAGAAAAGGGGCCCAAUUAGGCCCCUUUCC